This 253-nucleotide ribosomal RNA is filed under the name uncultured bacterium. RNAcentral's name for it is "partial 16S ribosomal RNA". It matches the Rfam family "Bacterial small subunit ribosomal RNA", at positions 524 to 776 of the family's 1533-position model. The record is from RNAcentral.
UACGUAGGGUGCAAGCGUUAAUCGGAAUUACUGGGCGUAAAGCGUGCGCAGGCGGUUCUAUAAGACAGAUGUGAAAUCCCCGGGCUCAACCUGGGAACUGCAUUUGUGACUGUAGAGCUGGAGUACGGCAGAGGGGGAUGGAAUUCCGCGUGUAGCAGUGAAAUGCGUAGAUAUGCGGAGGAACACCGAUGGCGAAGGCAGUCCCCUGGACCUGUACUGACGCUCAUGCACGAAAGCGUGGGGAGCAAACAGG